This 5088-nucleotide ribosomal RNA is filed under the name bacterium. RNAcentral's name for it is "23S ribosomal RNA". The stretch from base 1 to 3712 matches the Rfam family "Bacterial large subunit ribosomal RNA". The record is from RNAcentral.
UUCAGCGGGAAUAAGAGUAUAUGGCGGAUGCCUUGGCUUGAAGUGGCGAUGAAGGACGUGGCGUGUCUGCGAUAAGCUUCGGGGAGGUGACUAGCAACCUUUGAUCCGGAGAUGUCCGAAUGGGGAAACCCCUCCGUGUAAACCACGGAGACCGUGCUUUGCACGGAAAUCCUAAAUUACAAAAUCCAAAUUCCAAACAAAUUCUAAAUUUCAAAUUCCAAAUCCGUUUUGGUCAUUUGAAUUUUUGCAUUGUUUGGGGGUUGGUGCUUGGAAAUUUGGGUUUCCGUGCAGAGCGCGGAGCGCACCUAGGGAAGUGAAACAUCUCAGUACCUAGAGGAAAAGAAAACAAUGCUGCUUCUCACUUUGUUCGGCGCGGAAUUUCCAAUUUUUAAUUUCUAAUUUUUCCGCCUUAGGCGAGACCUCGCCCUUUGGGCGGGCAAUCAAUUUUUAAUGUUUCAAUUUUCAAAAACCCUUGUUUUGGAUUUUGGUCAUUGGGAUUUGUUUUGAAAUUGGUGCUUGAAAAUUGGGAAUUCCACUCGAGCGAAGCGAGAUGUGGUCCAUUCCCUUAGUAGCGGCGAGCGAAACGGGAAGAGCCCAAACCCUUCGAUUCGAUUCUGCGAAUCUCACUCAGGGCAAGCCCAAUCUUCGUUUUUUAAAAGAUGGGUUUACCCCGAGCGAGGUGCGUAGCAUCGAGUCGAGGGGGGUUGAAAGAUACAUUCAUUGAGAGUUUACUCUCAGGAGAGAUUUACAAGAAGAGAUUUGGUUAGUAGAACUCGUCUGGAAAGGCGGGCCAAAGAGGGUAAUAGCCCCGUACACGAAAAUCAUCUCUGUCUCUCGGAAUGUACUCUUGAGUACCUCGAGGAACGAAUGCCUCGGGGGAAGCCGGGAGCACUAGCUCCCAAGGCUAAAUACGCUUCAAGACCGAUAGUGAACUAGUACCGUGAGGGAAAGGUGAAAAGCAGCCCGAUGAGGGCGAUGAAAUAGUACCUGAAACCAUAUACUUACAAGGACUGGGAGCUUGUGCCUCACUUUUGUUCAGCACAAAAUUUUUAAUUUUCAAUUCUCAAUUUUUAUUCAAUGUUUAAUGUUCCAAUUUUCAAAUGUUUAAAAAUUAGAAAUUAAAAAUUGAAAAUUACGAAGUGCCGAGCGAGAGCGAGGUACGAGUGACCGGGUGCCUAUUGAAGAAUGAGCCAACGAGUUUUUGCAUGCUGCUCGUCUAACCCCGCUCUUUUGGCGUUAUUAUUUUGUUGGUAUAAUUAUUGAUUAUGUAUUAUGUUUAUUUUCUUAAAAGUAAAAAUAAAAAUUUUUUCUAUGUGGGGAGUACGAAUGAUCUUCGGAGAAGAUUGAAAGAACACAAUCAAGGAGAAAAUAGAUCAACAAAACAUUACGCUCCAUUCAAACUUAUUUAUUACGAAUCGUAUCUUAGUAAAAAAGAUGCAUUGCUUCGUGAAGAAAAACUAAAACAUCACGGAGCGGUAAUCGGGCAUCUUAAGAAGCGUAUUCAAAAUAGUUUACUGGAAUAGUGCCAAAAGAGCGGGGGGAGGCAAAGGGAAACCGAGUGUUAACAGCGCGCAUCAUUCUUUCCAAUUCACUCGUUUUAACGCGAGUGAAUUGGCGAAGAAUAAAGGCAACAUGCAAAAGACCCGAAGCCACGUGAGCUACCCAUGGCCAGGAUGAAUUUCGCCGAAAGGCGGAAGGAGGUCCGAACCGGUUGAUCGUACAACGUCAUCGGAUGAGCUGUGGGUCGGAGUGAAAAGCUAAUCGAACGUGGGAAUAGCUGGUUUUCUCCGAAAUAACUUUUGGGUUAGCGUCUUUAUUAUCGUUCGGGGGUAGAGCUACUGGAUGGGAUGCAUAGGGCGAAAGCUCGGCUUUCCAACCAAACUCCGAAUACCGAACGUAUUGUAAGGGCAGUUAGACUAUGGGGGCGAAGCUCCAUCGGUCAAAAGGGAAACAGCCCUGAUCUCAAUCUAAGGUCCCUAAAUCUCUGCUAAGUGUUUUCAAGGUGGUGAAAUUUCUCAGACAGCGAGGAGGUUGGCUUAGAAGCAGCCAUCCUUUAAAGAGUGCGUAACAGCUCACUCGUCAAGAGAUAUUGCGCCGAAAAUAAUCGGGACUCAAGCAGAGUACCGAAGGUGAGGGUGUUAUGCUUUUGCAUAACGCGGUAGGAGAACAUUCCUAAUGCAGUGAAGCUGCUUCGUGAGAAGUGGUGGAGCGUUGGGAAGCGAGAAUGUUGGCACAAGUAACCGCAAUGCAGGUGAGAGCCCUGCACGCCGAAAGCUCAAGGUUUCCUUGGCAAUGGUGAUCAGCCAAGGGUGAGUCGGUCCUAAGGCGAUGCCGAAAGGCGCAGUUGAUGGACACACGGUUAAUAUUCCGUGACUUCCGUAUAUUUCCAAUGGAGGGACGGAGGACAUAAAAAAGAGCGCGUUAUUGGAUUCGCGUUUGUGUUGUACAGAGAUGCUUUCCCGGCAAAUCCGGAAAGCGGCCGCAAGGCAAAUCUCGCGCAAUGCAGAAAUUCUUUCGUUUCGGAAGAAAAUUCUUUUGAAGAGCCUUCCAAGAAAAACUUCUAGGGUUAAGUAUAUGGAAACCGUACCGCAAACCGACACAGGUGAGCAGGUCGAGAAGACUAAGGCGAACGGGUGAGUGCUCCCCAAGGAACUCGGCAAAAAAGCACUCGUAAGUUAGCAAUAAGAGUUUCCCGUUAACCAUACGGUUUUUAUCGUGUGGAAAGCGGGACGCAGCGAAAGUACCCCUGGCGACUGUUUAACAAAAACACAGCUCUCUGCGAACUCGUAAGAGGAUGUAUAGAGGGUGACGCCUGACCAAUGCGAGAAGGUUAACGUUGGUGGUGUCCCGCUUUUAGCGGGAUGCUGACCGACCGAAGCCCUCGUCAAUGUCGGCCGUAACUAUAACGGUCCUAAGGUAGCGUAUUUCCUUGUCGGGUAAGUUCCGACGUGCACGAAAGGCGUAACGACUGGGGGACUGUCUCGGGGAGUAGCCCGGUGAAAAUACAAUACCGGUGAAGAUGCCGGUUACCUGCAGUUAGACGAAAAGACCCCGGAAGCUUUACUGCAACUUGAUAUUGGCUCUAAGAAUGUAAUGCGUAGCAUAGUGGGGAGGCUUUGAAGUGUUGCUCUUGGGCGGCAUGGAGCCAACAGUGAAAUACCCAUCUUUUCAUUUUUAGACUCUAACCUUUGCGGCAAAAACGCACGGGAACAGUAUCUGGUGGGCAGUUUAAGUGGGGCGCUUACCUCCUAAAAAGUAACGGAGGUGUUUAUCAAGGUCAGCUAGGUGCGGAUGGAAAUCGCGCCGAUAGCGCAAUGGCAUAAGCUGGCUUAACUGUAAGACGGACAUGUCAAACUUCCGAAUAUUUCGGAACUUUUUAUGCUUUCAUGUAUAAAAAGAGAUGCGAAAGCAGAACAUAGUGAACCGACCGUGGGCACUAGACGCCGCGGAAGAUUAACGGAUAAAAGCUACUCCGGGGAUAACAGGCUGGUCGCUUCCAAGAGUCCAUAUCGACGAAGCGGUUCGGCACCUCGAUGUCGGCUCGUCACAUCCUGGGGCUGGAGAAGGUCCCAAGGGUUGGGCUGUUCGCCCAUUAAAGUGGCACGCGAGCUGGGUUCAGACCGUUGAUGCGCUAAUCGCGCAUUACGAUCUUGAACUACUGAUUGGCUCAUCGACUGUUUGAAUCCAACGACAUAUUUUUCGUCUAUGAAAUAAAGAUAGGAAACAACCUCAAUCACGGCGGCCUCAAAGAGUAAUUUUUGAGCGAGAAGCUAACUUAUAUCGGUAAAAUCCUUUCAUAAGGACAAUACCGAGGGAAGUCUAAGAAAAAUUCAUUUAUAUUUUCUUAUGACCCUGUAGAGACUACAUGUUAGCCUCCCAGCACAAGUGGGAUGAAGAUAUAGUCCAAUGCCGCUAGUAAUAGCGGGAAUGUUUCGUGUCUGCGUGAUUCUGCGUAUAUUCUGCGCAGGCCAGCGGGUUUACGAAGCAAAACAUGCGUGAGACAGGUUGGUCUCCUAUCUACUGCAGGCGUUGAUUCUUGAGAGGAGUUUCUUCUAGUAAGCCCUUUUGGGGCCUUGCUACUUCACGCAGAAAUGUGUGAUGAAAAAGUGGCUAAUAACGGUGGAAUCUUCAUUCAUGUUUCUCGGUUCGAUGAAAAGUAAUAUCAUACGGUCUUUGAUAUUACUAUUCGCUUGAGGACCAGAAAUAGAGUAAGAUAAUAUCGUGGGAAGUCGAUCUAAAAUUAAGUUCGCGUAUAUUGCUGGUUUUCUUGAUGGAGAUGGGAGUCUUAUGCUUCAGCUCAAAAAGCGAAGCGAUAGCAAACGAGGGAUUCGUUUUAUGACUACAAUUUGUUUUUAUCAAGAUGCUAGGCAUAAAAAGACUUUAUAUUGGAUAAAAGAAGUCUUGGGUAUCGGUUAUAUUUCUGACAGAAAUGAUGGAAUGACUGAGCUGCGAAUAAAUGGUUAUAAACAGAUAAGAAAUAUUCUUAAAAGUUUGUUGCCGUAUAUUCGUUUUAAAAAACCUCAAACACGCGCGCUCUUACAAGCGUGUGAAGUGUUAUCCAACACAAAGUUCCAAAAGCUAACGAAAAGGCAAUUGACAAAACUUGUUGAUCUGAUUUUGGUUAUUCAAAGUCAAAAUUACGUUACCAAAAAGAAAAAAACAAGAAGCGAAUUGCAUAAAAUUUUAGGUCUGACCCCGUAACGACUUGUCUCUGACUUUAUGUCGGAGCGGACUUUCAUAAUGCCGGAAAGUUUCUUUCAAAAGAAACAGGCUUAUGUUUGUAAUACGCCAACACCUUAACUUUUUAUUAAAGAAAGGUGAAGAUAUAGUCUGCACUCCUAGAAAUAGGGGAGAAUGUGACGAGAGGACCGAAGAGAACUGACCUCUGGUGUACCAGCUGUUCUGCCAAGAGCAUCGCUGGGUAGCUAUGUCGGGACGGGAUAACCGCUGAAAGCAUCUAAGCGGGAAGCCCACCUCAAGAUUAGGAAUCAUUAAGACCCCUCGGAGAUGACGAGGUUGAUAGGCAGCAGGUGUACGCUCUGUGAGGAGUUAAGCCGAGCUGUACUAAGUGGUCAAUCCCGCUGAAAU